UAGCAUGAGGUCUCCCCGGCAAGAUCUUGGAUCGGCCAGCUGGAUCGUCUCGCGGACAAAGCACGUGGUCACCCAAGCUGGCGGCCGAGUGAGGCCGCGAGAAGGAAAUUUUGCCAAAUAUGUGCCUGGGCUGAGCUCAGCUGAGCUAGGAGACGCUAGGCGUGAGGAGGGGGGAAAGAAGAACGCGGCCUUCCGUUCGUGGUCUGGUCGCCGCUGGCGCACUCAGGUUGUGUCAUGGGUCGGCGUGCUCUACCGCCUCGGCAGCCGGCGGGGCGGCCGCGGCUGACUGCGCCUCUCCCUCCUGCGGGACCUGGCCUACGAGUGCACCGACCGGGAGCGGCUCCUGCGGGCGGAGCGCGGCGACGAGCAGGCGCACGAGGGGAUGCGGUAGUGAAGAAAGCGGAGGUGGAGGUGGAGGCAGGCGUUCGAGCGAUACCUCUAAGAGUCGGUGUAGUUGUUUGCCCACUUCGUGUCCGGACUCUAAAGCGACGGGUACGACCUAAAUACCUUCUAGAUAUGACUUAGACGAAGUUGCAGUUAACAAGCGUUGAAGACAUAACAAAUAUAACUCUACCGCAAACUUGCGGACGGUUCGCUCCUCUUCCCUUUGUAACGUGGACUAAACAAUUAGUUAUAUAGUUUUCAAGGUCGAGUCGUAGUUCCUUAAUAGAACUCUGAACAUAGUUUCCGAUAACCACUUACGUUGUGUGCAUUCCACCUACUAUCGUAACGGAAUUUUAUAGCUAGGUAUUCACCUAGACUACUACCGAAUCAAAAACGACUGAAGACGAAAGUGUGUUAUAACAUAGUUUGUGGUAGAGUUCCGUAACCAACGGGUCGUCCUGAAAGUCAACGGGUUCGUCUAGCACAAUGACCUUUCGAUGGUGACUUUCCACUUUGUGAACGUAGUUCUUUCGAUCCAUAGAACUUACAAGAACUUCGAUACGUCGACCGUAGACUCUAACAGAUGGGAUAAAUAAAUCGACCACGAAGUCUAUCAGUUCUUAGUCAACGAUUCUCUCCUCUGCUCAACAAUUUCGCGUUUCGAAGUUGACGCUUGAAUCUUCUACGGUUCGAAUAGUUAUCUAACAAGUGUGAUAAGUUACCAUGGCGUUCACGUCUUUUAUAUCGACGUCUUGACUUUCAGCGGGGUCGUGGAUCAAGUAACGCACAAGCGGAUUACUCACAAAAGACGGCCAGAUAACGACGUCGUUUGCGUAAAGGUAUGUGUGAAGUUACGUAAAAACCGACGUAGAUACCUUCACCUUGGUGAAGUUCCGACUUUGUCGAUCCCUACCUCAAGUGACAGACCCAAAAAUUUGUACGUCAUUACCUGGUUGAUUUCAAUUAACCGGGUCAAUAGGAGUCACCUUAUAAUGCCAGGGAACUACCAAGUAGGUCAUGUCUUCGUCUAAGGUGACGAUCUCUACAGUUUUAUAAACGUAUGGUCCGGUAACCAAACGAGCGGAGAGCAUACGGAUUAAAUAAGUCGUUGUUUUGUCUUUAACGAUACGCUGAGAAAUGACGAAACUCCAACCUCCUAGUUAGUGAGGCGGAGUGUUAAGUCCUCCGUCGGUGAAGGGAACGAUGUCGUAUAUUCCCACGAAGUUAACAUCAUGACUUCCUAGAACUCCGCGAAGAAGACCUUUUAACAGUUCACCUCGUUUAACUCCAAGCUAAAAGACGACAUUCUACCCGUUGUUGCAAUAUGCUGUACGUCGUGACGGGUUCGGCCAUAUAAACGUACGAACCUCGAAGUCUACAUUUUGACCUGUAUUCCCUUUACCGAGAUUGUCCAGAUUUAGACAAUUUACUACUCUCCGUCAGUGGACGUUACUGACAACUAAAGUUGAUGGGGCUAUAACACCUCUACGAUUUAAUAUAGAUGUCGGUCGUCGGAUUCGACGACGUUAGAUUGUUAGUCUCACUACCUUUCGACGAUAAGAGUAGUUUUUGUAAAGAACGUUACUAGUUCAAAGACUACUUCACGAAACUCCGUUCACUAUAAGGUCUAGAAAGCGUUCUUCUAGGUAGAGUAAGGGGUCAUCGUUUUUACACACACCAGAAUCUUGUACGGUACAGCAUGCUUCCCAGAUCACUUGACGUACGUAACCGGAACUUCAGUAACCAACUAUAUAGGAAAGCAGUCGGUUUCAACCAUAGCAGUGCCAUACGGUUGGCAAAUGUAACCGACUCUUGAAAUGAUUCAGUACAACUAAGACUACGAGCACUUAGACGCCGGGCAGACGAACCGUAACGAAGAAGUCGUGAAAGUUCGAGCCGACGCAACUUAGAAGACAGACUUGAGUGAAGUCGUGAACUGGGUUUAGUAGGCAGUUCUAAACUCUAAAUGGUACCUAACAAUACGCGUUGGCCCAUACAUUGGCGGACGACAAACUUCCUUAGAAUAUAUGGACUUCUUGACCAGGUUUUCCAUCAACUAUAAGAACAUUUUCAACAACUCAGACUCCCAAGUUGUAACCGUAGUGAACGUUACCUUAGAGAACCGGUAUAACCCGAGGCAACACAUAACGGAAGGUAAUCAUCCUUGAGGAGACGUCGACCUCAAAAUUGACAAGACGUACUCUCUAAUUGUUUCGACGAAAGGCUUUUACUAUGGUUUCGAUAUGUUUUCUAGAACCAUAGUGAACCUGUAUAAAGUACCUUACUCAACAGGAAAAGUGUAGACUUUUAACGCAAUCUGAACUAAAAGUCAGAGCGCGCAAGAUUCCAACUUCUACACGAAAAACGUAGACCGCUCCGAGAGAGAAAGUAUACCCCACUUCAAGGACACUGACGUCUACACUAUGAUCUUUGUUUGAAACAAAGGGAAAGGGUUCGGUGUUUGAAAGAAUGACCACUACGUGGGGACGAACUGAGUUCCUUGAAGCCAUUUUCUUCGUCGACACUUCUUCGUGCAUGUUGCCGAGUUCUACUUUAAUAUUUGUUCAACAAACUAUGUGAUUAAAUAUCGUCGUCUUUUCUCCUUGCGACACGCCCAUGUCAGACAAACCAGAGCGAGUGCUACAUGACACCAGCCGUAGGCUUCUAGGAACUUGAGGAAGGUGUCUAAGUCCUUCGGAAAAGAGUGGAAUAACCGCUAAGAUUACUCGAAUGUGUUCUAAACCGUAGGGUUCCAUACUCAUAACACAUACUUGAACCACUACGAAGAUACUUUCCCGUCAACCAAGUACGUGACCACUUAUGCGACUGACCGCGUCGUUUUUUCUUUUUCCGGUAAUUCGACUACCUCCUAAGUCUCCAAAAAGUUCUUCCUUGGUAACCGUCAUUAGGACGACCUCCUUUCGAAUCGUGUAUGUUCCUCGAGACAUCAGAACGGUUACUCUACCCUGUUGGACUGAACUAUAUGUUCAAGUACCUAGACCGAUUGAUAGUCCGACGAGAGUUAAGGUUCUCCCCACGACGAAAACCUAAAAGGUUCUAUCGGUUUGUUCGACCCCUCCGUGAAGUUGGGGUAGACGUGUGGAAUUAAGGAUCCGAACAGGCUAUGGUUAUACUAGGACUAUUCUUGUAGGUCCUAAGUUACCCCGUAUAGACCUUCAAUUAACAAAGUCUAGGGUUUUUCCGUUAUCUACUUGUAAUACUACAGUAUCAUCUCCUAGACAACCAAGUUAGACCUAGUGCCGAAACCGCGAGUGCACUUCGAAGAACAGAACGUGAACGUCUGUAGUAGGUUCCAGCUUCUAUAUCAGUCCAAAGAUUCGUAAACUAUUUUUAUACCUGUUGGUGGAAGGCACGCUACCUACUGUAUUUCCUUUGGCACGCUUUACGACCACUGUCAAACACGGCUCGACAUUCGAGUAACUGUCAAUCCGAUACACUACACAGUGAAUGAUGGCGAAGACUACGUUUUCUUUGUUACUUGUAACAUGAAGGUAAGAACGAAAGACUUCCGUAUGAGUCAUUUCAACGUUCGCAAGUUUUUCGUAGAUAUUUAAACCAGUACUUCGAACGGUUCCCCCGACCGUAACGGAACGCCGGUGUAGACAGUCUUGAACAAUCAACAUACGAACUUACAAACAGUUCAGACCUCCUAGUUUCCAAUUUGAUACAACUCUACGUACGUCCUUUACGACCGUAGGUUUGGCUCUUCGAACUGUCGAACGCACAUCGACAUCGUUUUCUAAGAGGUUACACCCUUUGGGAACUAUAUACAUAGCUUCAACAACUGUGUUUAAGUGAGCUCGAUAACUAAGGAGCGGACCGAGUUUACCAAUCUAGACGACAACCAGAAUUAUGUUCCCAACCACAACGAUCGAAGUAGUGGAACGACCAUGUCUUCCAGUACUAAUUGUAGUUCGGUAUGUGCCGCUACAAUGACUUUAAUGAAAUAUGACGACAAGACCUCCUUUCCUCAUGACGUCGGUUUUCCCGGAAACGCAGAAGAACACGACGUCAAAACUUUAUACGGUCGGUUAGAGUCCGAGUCUUUGAAUAACUUCUGUGGCGAAGAGACGUAAAUCCACUUUUUUCAAGAGUCAAUAGACCGCGUCAAGAAUAAUUUAGCAUGAACUCGUUACGUCGUCUACAAUAAUCACCUAUGUUACGUCACCAAUAGGGACAUUAAAAAAGAAGUUCUAAACUACUACUAUUUCUCUGGUCACGGAACAUACCUCUUGAAACCCUCCUAUAAGGAUCGUCACUUUCUCAUUGGGAAGUCGAAAUAAAUGGUCUUUAACAUAGGGAAAACACGCUAACGUACAGGAGUAGUAGUACCCGACCGUUCUCUUUCAGUCGGUUCCGAUGUUUUUCAGAUACACUACGGGAACCUCUUGGACAAAGACGCGUGGUGGUAUUAUAAGAGUUUAGUGAAGACUUUCUCGAUGGUCCAGCUAAAACCCUCCCUUUUCUACGACAAGACCUACGUGAUCGAAGUGACACAAACACGACGGUGCGGCGAUAUUGACGUCUGCUUGGUUGAUACGGAUCACAAUAAGACUUACGACAAACACGACGUACGUCAUCCUUCGGCUUUAACAUGGCACUUCGUCGAAAGAGCACAAAUGUCGUUCACUAGUGACGUAAGUUUCUAGGUCCUAAGAAGUUAUCACAAAAGGGAUACAACAUACUCCAAAGAUUAGUCAGACAGUAAAAAUUCUGUUGUUCCUCAAGUAGAAGUGAUUCAUGUAGACGACGACGACUCGUUCUACUUUCACGUUCACAGAGGCAAAGAGAACUGUUCCACGAGUUGACACGACGUAGAUCGUAGUGAUAACGAAACGGUGUUCUAUAAUAGGUGGUUUUCUUCUUAUACAAUCUCCAAGACAACUUGAGAGAAAGUGGGCUCCUCCCAACCGUUCAAUUUAACAGUAGGAAGAACACAUAGUUUCUUAACACGAUGUUUAAAAGCCUAAGACCACCAUCGUGCCGCACCGGACUUCCGUGUCUACUAAAACAAGUCCUCUACAAGGUAAGUCACCGCAGUUUUCAUCAUCUGAGGUAUGCGAAUCAAUUCUAACGAGUCCAAGUACAACGACGAAGUCUCACGGAAGAACUCAACUAGUUUAACAUAUCUCUGAAGGGCAACCUUCUCUCUUCUCUCCGGUUCAAGCUCCCACUUGAUUAGGUUGAGACGCUCAGUCUUUUUUCACUUGUCCGUUUCCGUGAAGACUUCGUUACGAACCGACGAGAGUUUCUCGAGUGACCGCAUUGGUACUGCUACCCAAUCUACGUGAGAAAAGCUAUGUACAUUUUAGACGAUGUACUUUUACGACGGUCACCGUGUGAACUUUAAAUACCCUUUUACUAACGUAACGUGUAAAAAUUCGAUACGUUAUGCUUUUAACCGUUAAAUAAUGUGUCAAGCCAAUUAACAAGAGGUAAAAGUAUGUAAAAAGACACUCCAGUGUUGAAGGAUAAUACUGCUUUCUCCCGAGACUAAUA
This 5904-nucleotide ribosomal RNA is filed under the name Triticum aestivum (bread wheat). Its description in RNAcentral is "partial small subunit ribosomal RNA". The record is from RNAcentral. Lineage: Eukaryota; Viridiplantae; Streptophyta; Magnoliopsida; Poales; Poaceae.